CCGGCGGCGGGCGCGGGAGGAGGGGAAGGAGGAGGAGGAGGAGGAGGGAGAGAAGGAGAAGGAGGAGCGGGAUGGGGCUGCGCAGGGCAGGCGGCGAGCUCAGCCCGCUGCUGCCCUUGGCUCGCAGGUGGCCUUCAAAAGGGUGCCCCGGAACCGCGUCCGGCACUGGGGCGAGCUGAUGAGUGAGAGGGGCCAGCGGCAGAAGCCGGGCCGUGCCGGGCGGGGAUGAGCCGGGCCCGGCAGGGUGGGAGCCGCCGGGAGCCCUGCAGGGAGAGCGGGCGUGGGGCCAGCGCAGGGCGCAGAGCAGCCCGGGCUGGGUGAGGGGUUCCCGACCCCCGGCACGGCAUCAGCCCCACUGACGGCAUCGUAUUCUUUCCGCAGCCCGACGGCACCAGCGCGCCCCUGGAGAUCGUGCUGCUGGACGAGGUCUCCUCUGGCUGUGCUGGUGUCAUUCAGCUCCUGGAAUGGUUUCAGCUCCCCGACAGCUUCGUGCUGGUGCUGGGGCGUCCGGAGCGCUGCCAGGACCUGUCGGGUUUCCUGGCAGAGCGGGGAUUCUUGUCCGAGGAGGCGGCGCGGGGACUGUUCCGCCAGGUGCUGGAGCCGUGCGGCGCUGCAGCAGCUGCGGGGUCCUGCACAGGGACAUCAAGCCAGGGAACAUCCUGCUCGACCUGGCCACCAGGCAGGUGAAACUGAUGGACUUUGGCUGUGGUGCCUUCCUCCAAGACACAGCCUACACCCAGUUUGCAGUUGUGCCUUCCCAGGGCUUCUGCUGCCCUUUUCCAGCACCAGUGGCUUCUUUUCCAGCCCCGAGUCUCUACACAAGUCCCAGGUGCUGGUGAGAGGGUAGCGGGCACACCGUGUGCCACUGGGGCAGGCCCCGCACGCCCAGGGGUGUUGGGGCCAGGCUCUUGGGAACAGCAGCAUCCCCAUGAACUCUGUGUUCCACAGGAACCCUGUCCUACAGCCCACCAGAGUGGAUCCACCACCAACGCUACCACGGCAAGGCAGCGACGAUCUGGUCCCUGGGCCUCCUACUGUACCACCUGGUCAUGGGGAAGCACCCAUUCAGGAGGGGCCAGGAGAUCAUCUGGGGGUGGAUCUUCUUCCUACCACGGCUCUCUCAAGGUGGAUGCUCAUUUCUGGGCACGGGGGCAAUACCAGGUGGGUGACAGCAGCAGCUUGUGAGCAUCCUGCUCUGGCAGCUGCUGAGGAGGUGGCACAUGUCCUGCUCUCCUGCUCUCCUCCGAAACAGGGAAUUGAUGAGAAAGUUUAGGCCCAACUCUGGGCAUACCCAGCAUGGCCUGGGCACAGGAACGGGGUACAGCUUCUCCAAAUGAUUGGUGAUUUCUGGUUUCUCUCCCCAUAGUGCCAGGAUGUCCUUAAGAGGUGUUUGUCCAUGCAGCCCUUGAACAGGCCAUCCUUAGAAGAGCUUUUCUGCGAUCCUUGGGUGCAAGGUGUUCCUUUGCCCUAGAUGAUGGGAGAGAUCCACGUGAACAGCUGGAUGCAGGGGCCUGGCAGGAACAGCUCCACACAUUUCUUGGCAAUCAGUGGCAAAGCCAACCAGACUGGUUUUGUCCUGCCUGUAGUUCUGAGUAGGGGUCAGCAGAGGGGAACACGCAGCUCUUGGGCUGGAGCUGAGCUGGAGACCUGGUGUGGCAAGCACUGGUGGCCACCAUCCACCUGGUUUUGCUUGCCAUGGUUCAUGGAUGGCUGGGGCCCUCGGCAGAAGCCUGACAGACUGGUCUGGCCCCAGGGAAGGAGAAGGAGCCCCUGGAGAAGCUGUACCAGGUAGGGCUGCUGCUGCUGGGGACAGCAAGGACAAGAUCAAGGAUGACAACC
RNAcentral lists this long non-coding RNA (1839 nucleotides) under Chloebia gouldiae (Gouldian finch). RNAcentral's name for it is "Erythrura gouldiae (Gouldian finch) lncRNA (ENSEGOG00005015828.1)". The record is from RNAcentral. Lineage: Eukaryota; Metazoa; Chordata; Aves; Passeriformes; Passeridae.